RNAcentral lists this ribosomal RNA (44 nucleotides) under Sporobolomyces roseus. Its description in RNAcentral is "partial 26S rRNA". The record is from RNAcentral. Lineage: Eukaryota; Fungi; Basidiomycota; Microbotryomycetes; Sporidiobolales; Sporidiobolaceae.
UUAGAUCUCAAAUCAGGCAGGAUUACCCGCUGAACUUAAGCAUA